RNAcentral lists this unclassified non-coding RNA (253 nucleotides) under uncultured Oscillospiraceae bacterium. RNAcentral describes it as "contains 16S-23S intergenic spacer region". It matches the Rfam family "Bacterial small subunit ribosomal RNA", at positions 524 to 776 of the family's 1533-position model. The record is from RNAcentral. Lineage: Bacteria; Bacillati; Bacillota; Clostridia; Eubacteriales; Oscillospiraceae.
UACGUAGGUGGCAAGCGUUGUCCGGAUUUACUGGGCGUAAAGGGCGUGUAGGCGGGUGAGUAAGUCAGAUGUGAAAUACCGGGGCUCAACCCCGGGGCUGCAUUUGAAACUACUUAUCUUGAGUAUCGGAGAGGAAAGCGGAAUUCCCAGUGUAGCGGUGAAAUGCGUAGAUAUUGGGAGGAACACCAGUGGCGAAGGCGGCUUUCUGGACGACAACUGACGCUGAGGCGCGAAAGCGUGGGUAGCAAACAGG